This is a long non-coding RNA of Dicentrarchus labrax (European seabass), 6302 nucleotides long. RefSeq lists it as uncharacterized. NCBI's taxonomy places the organism in Eukaryota, Metazoa, Chordata, Actinopteri, Moronidae. The record is from RefSeq and is a predicted model, not a curated record. The transcript is spliced from 2 exons.
GUGUGGUGGGAGAACACAGCCGCAAACUGACACCACAGGCACAGACUCUGGGGGUCCCCACUCACUGCCACUGCUUGGAUAGGCUUCAACACCUUUGGCUCUGCAGACGUGAUCAUAUGCUUUUAUUAUGAGAAAUGGUCUGCCUCAAAGGACUCGACAAAUCCACCAAAGUGAGAAUGGACCAGACCAGCGGAAGAAGUAGAUCGGGGGAUCACAUCAACACCGUAUCCUCCAGGAGAGGCCACCGUAGCACUGGAUGAUCCCAUGGAUGAGUGCUGCUGUGUGGGGCGCAGAGAGUGCUCAGCCUGGCUGCUGAGGAUUUCUUCUGGCUCCUUUUCUCCUUGUGUGGAAGGUGUUGAGUCACACAGGGACUCAACACUCGAGAGACGGCUCUGCCCAGAGAGGACAGAGCUCUCUGGGAUGUUUUGUGCCUUUAGAGGCUGAUCCUGGAUACCCAUGAGCGAUGGCUGUGAUUGUGCCUGUACUGCUGACUCUUGAUCCUCUCCUUCUUUAGAUGUCUCUGUAUCUAUAUGAGUGUUCACCUCUGCUAGUGCCUGUGUCAAAGCAUCUAUCUCAGCCCCUAUCUCUGUGAAGGCAGCUGUGAAGUCCUCUGGUGGAGCCGCGAUGAUCCCAGUCCAGUCUGAGAGAGCGCUUGCCCAGCUGUCCACUGACGACCACCUCUCAACCGGUGGCCCCCAACCUCCAGUGUCAUCACCGGACCAGCCAAUCACUUCACUACCAUCAGGGUUGUAACAUGACACUUGUGUCUCUCCUGUGGGAAAAGACAAGUCACUGGUGGCCGUGAGCCCUCCUUGCAUCACAGAAUGACCUGUCUUGUCCGAAACAUCCCUAUCUUCUAUAUCCUCACCUGCCAGAUACUGGCAUGCGUCCAGCCAUAGUUCGAUGGGGCUGUCAUUGCGCCGUGGUUGGGGGGUUAAAUCAGUGACCUCUGCUUUCCCUCGUCUAGCAUCAUUUACUGACAUCAAGCCUGCCUCGCAGGCAUUCACAGCAGGUGGUCUUAGUCUUGUGGGUUGGCUCACGUCAGACUCAUAGUCCACCAUAGCUCGUUCCUCACUGGAGCCGUGAUGACAUUGUGUCACCACAUUUUCUGAAUCACACAUCAGUGACUGUGAAUCGCAGUCAGGGUCUGACUUUUUUCCCCCUGUUUGUGAUAAUGGCCGGUAUUCAGGACAUUUAAUCUCCUCUGGAUCAACAUUAGGGCUAAGUAUGAAGUCAUGUGUGUCACUUUCAAAGAUAUAAAGGUCUGACACAGGUGCUAUAGCUGUAUCACUCUCUAAACUAUCUGACUGAUGUGAUAACGACCUUAAUAGAUAAGUUGCUUGACUGUCUUUAGAACUGAAGCUGUGACUAUAGAUGGGCUCAGUGAAAGAUGGCUCCAUUAAAGGUUGAGGUGUGCUAUUUUCUUGUAUGGGAGAAAAACAGAGGGCUGGUUCUUGUUUAACGUAAAACUCUGAAAAAGAUUCAGAAAGAGGGGAAAUAAGGUCAUGAGAGAGGUGAGGUAAAAGAGGUUCUGAUGAGCCAAAAUAGCUAAAAACCCUGAAAUCCUCAUCCAUUAAGGAAGGCUCUGAACAAAGUGACAAACACUCUGACAUAUUAUAGCUGGAUGACGAAGGCUUCUGACAGUCUAAGUCAGUGGUUUUCUCCUGAGAGAGGCAUUCGGGAACGUUUGAUAAAGUCUUGGUUGAUUUGUCAGUGGGCUCUGACACAGUCUCUGCUCCUGUCUCGUAUGCAGACAGCGUGCUUUCUGUGGGACUGUGCAGAAGAGAGAGAGACUCUAGAUUCCCUGUUUGACUGUCUGUAAGAGCUGGUGGCGACUGUGUUUGGUCUACCGUGCAAAGGAGUGGCAGAUCCAUGGGGACUUCUAGUGGUGCUGCUUGAGGAGGUUGUCAGCAGUGAGGAUUUGGCUGUCAAACAGCAACUUCAGGCCAAGUUUUGGGACGAAUGGCACAAAGUUCUAUGCACACAUUAUUUGUGCCUGGCUUUUCAGGUGUCAUUACCUCCACUGGGUCCAAGUGCAUUCUUGUGCUUUUAGAUUCCUUACCUGCAAAGUAAAACAUGACAUCACAAGAGAAUUAAAAUAUUUCACAGUUAAAUUGCAAAACUGGAAGAAAAGAUCUGAAGCUCAUGUGUAUGUUUACCUCCUCGAUUGGAAGUAUUUGAAGUAAAGGCACACUAUCUCCCUCUAGUUGUUUAUCUUAGUUAAGAAGGUGCCCAUUUAAAUAGCGUGUUGCAUCUAUUUUAGAAGCUUUUAUAGGACACUUGACAUACCUUAUCACCUUCUUGUUGUCAUUAUUGUGUAGCUGAUAAAAGUGUCUGGUGUGUCUGUGUGGUGUCUGUAGCUGCAGACUAGACUCCAAAUUCUAUUGUCUGGCACAACUGAGGGGUAGUAAAGCAUGUCUACAUGAUCAAAAUACAGUAUUUUCAUGUGGAAUUAUAUGUGGAGCUAGACAGUGUGCGAUUCAUUAACAGCUGUUAUUGAACUUUUGCACAAUGCUGUCCAAUCCUUAAUAGCUCGGUACCAGACAAGACGCACCAAAAUAUUGCAUUCAGAAGCCCUUAGAGCUGCGAGUAUUUAAAUAUCAAGAGAAUUCUUAAGAAUCUCUGGUAUUAAUCAUUAGCUCAAAGGGGCUACAUUAGGCCAGUCCAGUUUCAGCGUAUUUGCUGCAAAAUUAUGAAUAUUGCUCUUUUAUUUACCUUAAGUUGAAAAUACUGUAAAAUUUCAGAUAUAACGAUGUUAAUUCUUUCAAUAUUCAUGGCAUUCCAAACUUUAUAAUUUGGUAGGCUAAUAGACAUUGAAUGUUGCUUUUUUGUGUAGUUCUAAGAAAUUAUAGAGUUACACUGGGGGAGUUACCAUCCUAAAAUGUUGGUCACAACAAUGACAAUACACCUGACCUAUAUUAAAAUCCUAUCGCCAGUGUUGCCCACUACCUGAGGUAUUUGCAGAGGCUUGAUAUGAAGUGUUGAAAGGGGAGGCUUCAAAACAUGCACCCUGAUAUACAAGAUUGCAGGAGGGGAACUGGUGGCACAUUCACUGGAAAAAUACCAGUACAUCUUCACCCAUGACCUGCAUUUGUCACAUUCCUGCUGCAGUGAAGGACACCUAGCCUCAGGCCUCAAAUGUUUACUACGAAAACAGAUCCUAGUUUACCUCUAUUGACAAACACCUUGAACACAAACUAAUUUCACAAAAUGUCCGGGCUGCAAAAACAUUAAAAAUGUUCAUUUUAGAGUUAAUAGUCACUGAACUAAUGUUAUAAUCACAAUGUCUAUAACACCCUGUACCAAAUGAUCUUAACACUGCUAAAGAUAGAUUUAUGUUACCUUAAAUUAAUUCGUUACUCUUCUGAUUUCAAUCAUAUUUUGUACAGAGAGUCCAUAUUUUUUAUUUAGAUCACGUGCAUGCUACUAGUCCAUAUAUCAGAGUUGUGACAUACUCUGACAUACACUUUGAUGUUUUAAAUUGAACAGAAAUCAAUCUUGUUGGUAUGCUUGAUUAGCACAUUAGGUAGGGAUUGAUCUGUACUGACAUUAAAAAACAAUAAAGCUGUCAGCACAUGCGUGACUAAGAGCAAGAAAGUGUAAUUUGAUGUCAUCUUGACUCUCUGUGCCAAAAUAGAUACACUCUCAGUCACACAACACCCCCAAGAGCCUGCUGCAUCUUUAAAGCUUCUGUAUGUGAACGACUCGCUUGAAAUACCAAAUACAGUACAUCUAAACUGUUUUGAAAAUAACACUAUCUGCCUCAAAAUGUAAUACUUUCUCAACACUCACUGCUGCAAAUGACCAGGGUGAAAACACAACAAGUAUUUGUCAAAAUUCAUUACACGUGUAAAUCAUGUGGAAUUAAUUCUGAUGCUUUACAGAGUGAAUCAUGAGUGUCAAGCAGCACAGCAGUGUGUGUGUGUGUGUGUGUGUGUGUGUGUGUAUGUGUGUGUGUGUGUGUGUGUGUGUGAUGUGUGUGUGUGCAUGUCAACCCAUCAUCAGUGUUGUAAGCGUCAAAGCAGUGUGAUUGACAACAUUUACCAUGCCCAAAGAAAAAACCACCAACAUAUGUCAAACAAGUUAGCUCACAGCUGAAUCACACAUAAUAAAAGUAGUAUUAUUACUUGAGGUAUUAGUACAGAUGUCAUAGCCUUUGAAGGGGAUUUUCAGCCAUGCAUGUAGUACGUACCCUUUUCAUAGCCGUGUGGUUGAAGAUAUAGACCUAUGAUGUAGGACUUCAGUAUGAGCUCAGGCAGAGCUGGCAGUCUCGGGGUGUGAGUCUAUUUUUAACAGUUGCCCCCCUUAAGUACAAAGUCAGUUACCUGAUAUUGUAGACAUGUGCCGAUCUUGAACAUAUAACACUCGAAAUCUAUAUUUAUUACAGACUCUUUCAGUAUGGACCUAUUUUACAGACUGAUUUUGAUUUGUGGUUGUCAUUGAUAUGUAAUUGAGGAAAGUUUUUGACUCUUGCCAGGAAGAGAAAUAUUGAAAAACCUUAGGCGAGCAUGCACUGGAGUAAUAAUUUUGGUUUAGAUAAGGAGUUUUUUCACCAUUUGAUAUCCUGCAGAGGGAAAAACAAUUAUAUAUUUCACUCCUUUCUCAGCCCAGAAGGCUAAUUGUUUCAUGAAGUUAAAAGAAUAAAGAGAAAAUAGAACAAAACUGCUGAUACUCUUUUGAACAUGAGCCAGUCUUUUAGAUAAAAGGUUUAUUUUUCCAAAGAAAUGAUCUACGAAUUCUCUGAGGGCUUGUAAGCUUGUACAUUAUAUUUUGUGUGAAAAUAAUUUAUUCUUAUCCACUUAUAUUCAUAAGUGUAACCAAGAAAAUAUAUAUUUUAGUCUUUUUACACUACAUAAUGUAUAACAAAGAAAGUUUUCCUUCUGAUAUAAAUGUGUUUACACUGCACUCGUGACAUUGAGGGUCACAUGUCUGACAACACUAACAACCCUCUAAUUACUCUGGUAAAGCAACAAUGCACUGUUGUCAGUGGCCAAAACAACAUAAUGAGACCAGACCUUUCUUGGCUUCUGUGGAAAAUUAUUAGUAGUCAAUUAUCUCAGCCUAGCGUGACAGUGAUAUAAUGUGACUUUUUUCUCUCAUUUAGCCAAAUUACUUAUCUCAUAAGCAGUGAACACAAACUAAUCCUUAAUGACAUAAAUGGCAGGUCAGUUUCCAAUAAUUUGAAUAGGCCAACAAUUUAGUUGGAAAGUGAUGAUGAUUCUGUAUUCAUGGUGUCUGUUGUUUGUACUCAAAAGCAUGAAACAUUUAUGAUUUUACAUUAAGUUCAAUAUCCAUAGAUACUUGGAAAAUGGAUGUGCUUGAAGUGGAGUCACAUAAGUGUGACUAUAAUGACUACAAGACUGCAGAAAGUCACGGAAUAGUCCAAUAUAAUGUGUUCAUUAGUGCUUUGGAAUUUGGACAAAGCCAGACUAGCUGUUUCCACCUGUUUCCAGCCUUUAUGCUAUGCUAAGCUAAGCUAACCAACUACUAGCUGCAGCCUUAUAUUGAAGGGACAGAUGUAAGAGUGGCAUUCUCAUCUAAUUCUUGGUAAGAAAGUAAAAGUUGGUUGUUCAGGUGUCUACAGAGUUGGAUAUAAACAGUGUCUGACUUAUUAUGUCUCUUGUUACACAUUUAUUUUUAAAACACAGCUCAUGUCUGUUGCAUGUAAUUAGAUAUUUGCAUGAAAAUGUACUUCUUGAUGUCUGUGUAAUCCUUAAAGGGGAAUUUUCUCAAGAUCAUAGCAUUUUCAUAGUCCUUGUUACUUCAUCCCAUGCUCUUAUCCUGCUGCUUGACAAUAUUUAAUGGCUUAUUCCUGCUGCAAAUCUCCUAUACAUUACUGCCUUUGACUUUAUUUAUUGCAAUUUAAUUAUUUAUCUUCCUCCUUUUGUUUGGGUUUCCUCAAACCAGGCAGUGACCUUCUCCAGGCAUCCACAUCCUUAUGUCACAGCAGUUUUUCCUAUUGUGCUUUUAAGAAAUGUUUUACACUUGAAAAACCUCAGGUCCUCUUUUAAUGGUAUUAAACAUUGUUUCAGACUUGUUUACUUCACUGUAUAUCUUUCUGAAAACUGCUUACUAGUUGUUGCUUCAUAAUGAUGUAAAUAGGUGAAUGACAGUUUUAUUUUUGUUACCAAGAGUAAUUUAUGGCUGUUACAUAAUUUCUCCUGUGACAGGUGAGGGAAGCAGAUUCUUUUACUGCUUUAAAAUCACCACGUUGUAAAUAGUUGUUUAACAACGGAGGCCCUCCAAUAAAACAGCCAUGACUCAAGUGUUAUUUUUUUAAAGAAUAAAGAAAAGAAAAUAUA